Sphaerodactylus townsendi is the source of this 1657-nucleotide long non-coding RNA. RefSeq lists it as uncharacterized. NCBI's taxonomy places the organism in Eukaryota, Metazoa, Chordata, Lepidosauria, Squamata, Sphaerodactylidae. The transcript has 3 exons. The record is from RefSeq and is a predicted model, not a curated record.
ACAAUGCGAUAGUAUGUACAGCUUCUUCCUCCUGGGAAAAGGCGUGCAUGGAGACCUAUCCCCGCUGGACUGAUUUCCUGCAAUUCCCCCCCCCCUUCCCCCCACCACCUACCCCAUAGCCACAACUUGAACUCCUGGUGCCCAAAGACGGGAGCGAAGGAGACACCUCCCCACCCUACCCCGCCCUGGUCCUUCGAGGGGCGAGAAACUUCCCUUGGCUUUCCCAAAACUCACUGAGAGAGGCCAGAACACGCCGAUCCAAGAACAUUGGAGCAGUCUUGCUGGUUCAUGCGGGAAGUCGAUAUUAACAUCCAGACUGGAAGAAGAGAUGCGGAGCCGAGAUUUAAAGCCUGCAGAGGGUGCGGCUGCUGCGCUCGCUCUCCUCGUUCGGAUUCUGAAGCCAACGUCUGGGCGAUUCCCAGUGCCAGCUUGCACCUUGUGUGAGAUAGCCUGUCCGCCUCCUCCCAGUGACAAGAGCCAAGCAAGAGAAACAAAGGUUUAUCUGUGAAGGGGAUCUACAGAACCGGCAGAGGAAAUCAUUUUUCAUUCUUGUUGUAGGGAACGGACAAGAUCUGAAACUGAAGACCAGUGAAAUCUUUCUUGUGUAUGGAUCUGACAAACAGAAAUCAAGAUUAGGGUUUGUUCCGUUGAUACUGUAAUGCUAACUUAAAAAAAAAUAGAAAAGAAAUUAUUUCCAAUUGCACUAAUCCCUUUAGCCUAGUAUGACUGUCAUGCUUGCAUUUGAAUGGAUUCCCUGGUGAAGUCUAAGGCAAAGGAAAUUGUCAGUGAGAAGCUGACACUAUUUAAUCCACUGUAUUCUUAAUGGAUGCUGGAAAUUAUUAGCGUAUGCUGUCUUUUGAAGUUUUCGUGUUAAUAUUAUUGGGAAACCUUUGAAAGCAUUCAUCUUCUUAUCGAGUCAAUGGUAGGGAAAUAUGCACAUGUGCAGCAGCACACACAGCGGAUAGUCUAUGCAGCUCUGUGACCUCUUCAUGAACUUUGCAGAGGAGGCAAAGAUCAUUGGAGAAGGCAAAGGUCAGUGUUCAUGCUGAUCACCAACAAAAAUCAAAUUGAGCCAUUCAGCCAAGGAUAGUUAUGAGACCUUCUGUUAUUUCGACAAAACGCCACUAGCAUUUCCUAUUUACCUAGUAAGGACGUUGCAUUUUGGUCUGUGUCUCUCAAAAGCCAUGCAUUUCUGCAAGAAUCCCGUGGAAAUAGUCUGCAAGGAUAUAAUUAAAAGGGUGAAAUGAAUGUGAUGCAUUAUAUCGGCUUGCAUCUAGUGACACAUGUAUUAAAAUAAGACCCCCGUGCUGCUGUGAAUAUCUAAACAGAAUGGAAAUUCAAAAUAAACAUUUUCUUAACAGAUGCUGCAAAAAAAUAUGUUAAUUUGCUUCACAAUGACUCAUAUGAUGAAUUCAGUGGGCUUAGAAGAGUAUAACUCUUCUGUCAGUAUAUAGGUUAUGUGUAUGAAGAUAAAAGCAUGUCAGGAUGGUAAAGAGAAAAGAAUUAAAGGCUAUUAUGCCAUUAGCUGAAAUACUUUGAUUUCCAAUUUAAAACAUUUGUAUGUAAAUAGUGACCACAUCGUAGAGAUGUUCAAUGUAUUGUUGAAGGCUUUCACGACUGGAAUCACUGAGUUGCUGUGUGGUUUCCUGGCUGUAUA